Long non-coding RNA from Cyprinus carpio (common carp), 974 nucleotides. RefSeq lists it as uncharacterized. The transcript is spliced from 3 exons. The record is from RefSeq and is a predicted model, not a curated record. Lineage: Eukaryota; Metazoa; Chordata; Actinopteri; Cypriniformes; Cyprinidae.
CUGUAAAUAUAGAAUGAAAAAAAGACUGACAGAAACAAAAAAUCACUGAUAAGUGUCACAUGUGUCUGCUGGGACUGAUCAUUCUCACAGGAAAACUUAUACUGGAACAACAGUCUGGGCUAUGAGAUGAGAACAGAGACACACUGAGCUUUAACCACUAACCAUCAACCACCUGCUGACUGACGAGAAAACAUCAUUAGCUUGUGAGGGACAAAGACAAACUGAACCACGGUGAACUGAACUGAAGACAGAGACUGUAACACAUUUCAGUUUCAUUCAGCAACAUGAACGGUGAAAAUCAGACCUUAAAGAAUGAAUACAGUGAUCUUCCUACUGAUUAUGUCACUAAUGAAACUCAAUAUGAUUCUUCAGAAAUCAGAAUUAUUAUCUUCCUCAUCGCUAGUGUUUGUUUGGGUCUUCCAGCUCUGGUUUGGGCUUUUCGUCUUCUGCACCUUCACAGAAAGAUCAGAGGCCGAAUCUCAGUCUUUAUCCUCCUCCUCCUCCUCAAUGACCUGAUACAAUUGCCCAUUUAUCUAUAUAUAGUGACAUGUAUACUGGCAAAAUACAGAUCCGUUAUCCAUGAGCUUUACCAGUUUUGGUUGGGAUUACAUUGGUGUGGUUUUCAUCUGCAUCAGCUGGUGGCUCUGGAGGGGGUUUUGACUCUAAAAUAUCCGCUUUGUUCUGCUCGUAUUUUCUCACUGCCCUGUUACAUCAUAAUCUCCAUCCUUGUGCUUUUUUUUUCUAUAGUGAGUGCAUUAUUUCUUUAUUUUCCUGUUGUGCAUGUUAUGUCAGUAUUCAGUCUCAGCACAAGUUUUGUUCCUCUAAUCGUAUUGGCUGUAACAUCUACAAUCACCUGUAAAGCCUCUUCCACUCCUGUCAGCAAAAACAUACGUUCAGUGCUCACUGUUGCUAUUCUUACAUUUGUUAUGAUGUACUUACCUUUCAUGUUGAUCAGCUGGUUGAAUUUCUUUCAU